AGCAGCCGCGGUAAUUCCAGCUCCAAUAGCGUAUAUUAAAGUUGUUGCAGUUAAAAAGCUCGUAGUUGAACUUCGGGGUUUACCCAUUGGUCAGGCUUAAUUGUCUGCACUGGUGAGAUGAAUCUCUACCUUCUGAGGAACUUUCAUGCCAUUUAUUUGGUGUGAUUGGAAAUCAGGACUGUUACUUUGAAAAAUUAGAGUGUUUAAAGCAGGCUAACGUCUGAAUACAUUAGCAUGGAAUAAUGAAAUAGGACGUUUGAUUCUAUUUUGUUGGUUUCUAGGAUCGACGUAAUGAUUAAUAGGGAUAGUUGGGGGCAUUAGUAUUCAAUUGUCAGAGGUGAAAUUCUUGGAUUUAUUGAAGACUAACUACUGCGAAAGCAUUUGCCAAGGAUGUUUUCAUUAAUCAAGAACGAAAGUUAGGGGAUCGAAGACGAUCAGAUACCGUCGUAGUCUUAACCAUAAACUAUGCCGACUAGGGAUCGGAUGAUGUUAAUUUUUAAUGACUCAUUC
RNAcentral lists this ribosomal RNA (510 nucleotides) under uncultured Diversispora. Its description in RNAcentral is "SSU rRNA". It matches the Rfam family "Eukaryotic small subunit ribosomal RNA", at positions 569 to 1081 of the family's 1831-position model. Lineage: Eukaryota; Fungi; Glomeromycota; Glomeromycetes; Diversisporales; Diversisporaceae. The record is from RNAcentral.